Molecule: long non-coding RNA, 218 nt
Organism: Rhinichthys klamathensis goyatoka
Lineage: Eukaryota; Metazoa; Chordata; Actinopteri; Cypriniformes; Leuciscidae
Exons: 2
Source: RefSeq, a predicted model, not a curated record
GUCCUUUAAGGAAUUUAGAGUAUUUGUGUCAUGUGAUGAUGUCAUUUCCUAUUAAGUCACUUCCUGUUUGUCCUUCCUGGUACUGCAUGGAAACAAGGAGACAGACAUGGUGUGCUCUUGGUGUUGAAUCCACUUGCAUCCAACUUAAAGCAUCAUAGAGGCAAUGCUUUUUCACCUACAUGUAAAUGAGGAAGUGUGACAGUAAAUUAUCAACCUUA